This 569-nucleotide long non-coding RNA is filed under the name Equus asinus (donkey). Its description in RNAcentral is "lncRNA (ENSEASG00005029005.1)". The record is from RNAcentral. Lineage: Eukaryota; Metazoa; Chordata; Mammalia; Perissodactyla; Equidae.
UAAGGAAACUCAGGGAAAUUAAGCAACUUCUCGGAGGUCACAAUCUCACUUCCUGAUGGAUCCCAAAUCCUAGAGACAAUUAGUUUAGAGAGCUAGGAUUAACAGAAUUCCACUUACAGGGCCAGGUCCUCAAUUUUUGCAGUAAUUUAGUCGCUAUGGCAUAUUCUCAAGAAGCUAUUGGAGAUAGGCUCCAUAAAACAAGAAAGAGGAAGACAGAGAAUCCAGGAAACUGGGCAUCAACUCAGGAGAGACAGGAAGGAGGCAACCAGGAUGACAACUUCAAAGCAAGUCAAAGAGCAGCAAGCUCAGAUUGAGACAGCAAAAUGGUUGAGCAGAUACCUCACCAAAGAACAUUUUCACACCAGUUGCAAGACUGAGCUUGGAACCAGGAACAAGAUUAUUACUCUUUGCUAAUCUUGGCCAGGAUCUGCAGGAGGGUACCUCAAAGAAGAGUAAAAUGUGAAAGAGAUAAAAUGAGAGAACUGCUACAAAAAGAAACCAGAAUUUGAUGAUUUGGGAAUUUCUCAGCCUAUCCAGAUUGCAGAAGAUGCUAAAGCUAAGAGACCCAC